RNAcentral lists this ribosomal RNA (305 nucleotides) under uncultured bacterium. Its description in RNAcentral is "bacterial SSU rRNA". It matches the Rfam family "Bacterial small subunit ribosomal RNA", at positions 337 to 657 of the family's 1533-position model. The record is from RNAcentral.
UCCUACGGGGGGCAGCAGUCGGGAAUAUUGCGCAAUGGAGGAAACUCUGACGCAGUGACGCCGCGUAUGGGAAGAAGGUUUUCGGAUUGUAAACCAUUGUCGUUAGGGAAGAAGAAGUGACAGUACCUAAGGAGGAAGCUCCGGCUAACUAUGUGCCAGCAGCCGCGGUAAUACAUAGGGAGCGAGCGUUAUCCGGAUUUAUUGGGUGUAAAGGGUGCGUAGACGGGAAUACAAGUUGGUUGUGAAAUCCCUCGGCUUAACUGAGGAACUGCAACCAAAACUAUAUUUCUUGAGUAUCGGAGAGG